This 253-nucleotide ribosomal RNA is filed under the name uncultured bacterium. Its description in RNAcentral is "partial 16S ribosomal RNA". It matches the Rfam family "Bacterial small subunit ribosomal RNA", at positions 524 to 776 of the family's 1533-position model. The record is from RNAcentral.
UACGUAGGGGGCGAGCGUUGUCCGGAGUUACUGGGCGUAAAGGGCGCGCAGGCGGUCUGGUAAGUUUGGAGUGACAGUGCUCGGCUUAACUGAGCAAGGCCUUCGAAAACUGCUAGACUUGAGCACUCAAGAGGGACAUAGAAUUCCGGGUGGAGUGGUGAAAUGCGUAGAUAUCCGGAGGAAUACCAAAGGCGAAGGCAGUGUCCUGGGGAGUGUCUGACGCUCAGGCGCGAAAGCUAGGGGAGCGAACAGG